ACCUCCUGCAGUACAAAGCUGGGAGGCUGGGUGUUAAAUCUGCAGGUUAACGACAACGAUCCCAUCAUGUACACAUUUCAUCAAUCUUUGAAACUUGAGGCUGGAAGAGAUGUCACUAUAAGGGUUCCAGGUCAAGGUCACAGUCAUUCUGACACUGAGCUGGAGUGGAAGGAUCUGAAGCCCUGGAGCUCUGGAGACAGACUGAAGUUCUCCCUCUACAGCAAAACUGGAGAUAUGCAAUAUGAACUCUGUAUGUAAUCCACUUAAACAGAAUAACUAACCUCCUCUGUUCUGCUCUGUUGAUCUUACUCCACUUUUAUUAGAAGUUUCAAAUAAACUCUCAAUUGCAAAAACACAGCAGGAGUUUCAGGAAGUAGCUCAAAUUGAGAUGAGAUGAGUCAUGAGAGAAAGUUCUCAUUAUAAACAUCAUAAACAGGAACAGCAUGACUUCCUGCCCAAACACAGGUUGCUGUGACGCUCAGUGAAGACGAGGAGAUCAACCAUUUACAGACACACUUUUAUUAUUCUGAUAUUCAACAAUUUAAAACAUGUUUUGUGGUAAACAGAUCUUCCUUUGAUUGAUGGCCACUGCUUUUAUAUUCUACUGAAAAUCUACUCUUUUCGUUAAAAAAUUAUAAUUUAGAAAUCUCAGAAAUGGAAAUGUUUGAAAUUGUGUUUUAUAUUGAUAGGUUCAGAAGCUGAUGUGCCGCUUUGAUAAUGUUCGCUUUGGGAAAUACCAACUUCCAUGUAUGUUUUUAAUACAUGUCACAUGGGGUGCUACUUAUUAUUAUGUUCAAUCCACAGAAUUAUGUUAUACGCUACGUUUAUGCCAUGAAACUGUGAAUGUUUUUCUGUUUCUACAAAGCCUCUUAAAAGCCUCUUCUACAUAUACACAUACAUUUAUAUAAAAUAUAUGUUCUGUGGGUUGUGUCUGAGAAGCUGAAAGUAUCUGGAGUCUAAAAUAAAACUCAGAUCAACAUACCCUCAGCUCGCCUUUUAAAAUAAAUGCAUGCGUCAGUCA
Trematomus bernacchii (emerald rockcod) is the source of this 1021-nucleotide long non-coding RNA. RefSeq lists it as uncharacterized. NCBI's taxonomy places the organism in Eukaryota, Metazoa, Chordata, Actinopteri, Perciformes, Nototheniidae. The transcript has 2 exons. The record is from RefSeq and is a predicted model, not a curated record.